RNAcentral lists this transfer RNA (73 nucleotides) under Ictidomys tridecemlineatus (thirteen-lined ground squirrel). RNAcentral's name for it is "Spermophilus tridecemlineatus (thirteen-lined ground squirrel) tRNA". It matches the Rfam family "tRNA". From Rfam's summary of the family: Transfer RNA (tRNA) molecules are approximately 80 nucleotides in length. Their secondary structure includes four short double-helical elements and three loops (D, anti-codon, and T loops). Further hydrogen bonds mediate the characteristic L-shaped molecular structure. tRNAs have two regions of fundamental functional importance: the anti-codon, which is responsible for specific mRNA codon recognition, and the 3' end, to which the tRNAs corresponding amino acid is attached (by aminoacyl-tRNA synthetases). tRNAs cope with the degeneracy of the genetic code in two manners: having more than one tRNA (with a specific anti-codon) for a particular amino acid; and 'wobble' base-pairing, i.e. permitting non-standard base-pairing at the 3rd anti-codon position. Lineage: Eukaryota; Metazoa; Chordata; Mammalia; Rodentia; Sciuridae. The record is from Rfam by way of RNAcentral.
GAGGAUAUAGCUCAGUUGGUAGAGUGCCUGCUUCACAUGCACGAGGCCCUGGGUUCAAUCCCCAGCACCACCA